Molecule: non-coding RNA, 108 nt
Organism: Ceratobasidium sp. 370
Lineage: Eukaryota; Fungi; Basidiomycota; Agaricomycetes; Cantharellales; Ceratobasidiaceae
Source: the annotation of a GenBank genome assembly
UCCCGCUUAGCUCAGUGGUAGAGCGCGUCACUAGUAAAUAUCGCUGGUCAAGCUCGUGCAAUUGGUUGUGUGAUGACGAGGCCGCUUGUUCGAGUCAGGCAGUGGGAA